CAGUAGCCGCGGUAAUACAGAGGGUGCAAGCGUUAAUCGGAAUUACUGGGCGUAAAGCGCGCGUAGGUGGUUUGUUAAGUUGGAUGUGAAAGCCCCGGGCUCAACCUGGGAACUGCAUCCAAAACUGGCAAGCUAGAGUACGGUAGAGGGUGGUGGAAUUUCCUGUGUAGCGGUGAAAUGCGUAGAUAUAGGAAGGAACACCAGUGGCGAAGGCGACCACCUGGACUGAUACUGACACUGAGGUGCGAAAGCGUGGGGAGCAAACAGGAUUAGAUACCCCUGUAGUCCCUGUCUCUUAUAC
RNAcentral lists this ribosomal RNA (301 nucleotides) under uncultured bacterium. Its description in RNAcentral is "partial 16S ribosomal RNA". It matches the Rfam family "Bacterial small subunit ribosomal RNA", at positions 509 to 807 of the family's 1533-position model. The record is from RNAcentral.